AUUGCUUGUUGAAUAAAGGUGCAUUUUAUCAGCUUAAUAUCUGAUACGCUCUCUAGUAGAGAGCCAGAAUAUUAAACUGAUUUUUGGGACCAGGUGGAUUUUCGGAGCUCGCUCCGGCUCCACCGCGGGUUGACCCGGCAUUACAGUGCCGCUGGGACUCAGCCCUCUCAAA
Molecule: small nuclear RNA, 172 nt
Filed under: Melipona quadrifasciata
Lineage: Eukaryota; Metazoa; Arthropoda; Insecta; Hymenoptera; Apidae
Description: U2 spliceosomal RNA
Rfam family: U2 spliceosomal RNA
About the family: U2 is a small nuclear RNA (snRNA) component of the spliceosome (involved in pre-mRNA splicing). Complementary binding between U2 snRNA (in an area lying towards the 5' end but 3' to hairpin I) and the branchpoint sequence (BPS) of the intron results the bulging out of an unpaired adenosine, on the BPS, which initiates a nucleophilic attack at the intronic 5' splice site, thus starting the first of two transesterification reactions that mediate splicing.
Source: Rfam by way of RNAcentral